RNAcentral lists this ribosomal RNA (299 nucleotides) under uncultured bacterium. Its description in RNAcentral is "partial 16S ribosomal RNA". It matches the Rfam family "Bacterial small subunit ribosomal RNA", at positions 335 to 621 of the family's 1533-position model. The record is from RNAcentral.
ACUCCUACGGGAGGCAGCAGUGGGGAAUAUUGCACAAUGGGCGCAAGCCUGAUGCAGCCAUGCCGCGUGUAUGAAGAAGGCCUUCGGGUUGUAAAGUACUUUCAGCAGUGAGGAAGGUGGAGUCGUUAAUAGCGGCCUCAUUUGAUCGUUUAGCUUGCAGAAGAAGACACCGGCGUAACUCCGUGCCAGCAGCCGCGGUAAUACGGAGGGUGCGAGCGUUAAUCGGAAUUACUGGGCGUAAAGCGCAUGCAGGUGGUUUGUUAAGUCAGAUGUGAAAGCCCGGGGCUCAACCUCGGAAU